UAGGGAAUCUUCGGCAAUGGACGAAAGUCUGACCGAGCAACGCCGCGUGAGUGAAGAAGGUUUUCGGAUCGUAAAACUCUGUUGUUAGAGAAGAACGUUGCAUAGAGUGGAAAAUUAUGCAAGUGACGGUAUCUAACCAGAAAGGGACGGCUAACUACGUGCCAGCAGCCGCGGUAAUACGUAGGUCCCGAGCGUUGUCCGGAUUUAUUGGGCGUAAAGCGAGCGCAGGUGGUUUAAUAAGUCUGAUGUAAAAAGGCAGUGGCUCAACCAUUGUGUGCAUUGGAAACUGUUAGACUUGAGUGCAGUAGAGGAGAGUGGAAUUCCAUGUGUAGCGGUGAAAUGCGUAGAUAUAUGGAGGAACACCGGUGGCGAAAAGCGGCUCUCUGGACUGUCACUGACACUGAGGCUCGAAAGCGUGGGUAGCAAACAGGAUUAGAUACCCUGGUAGUCCACGCCGUAAACGAUGAGUGCUAGUUGUUU
This 480-nucleotide ribosomal RNA is filed under the name uncultured bacterium. Its description in RNAcentral is "partial 16S ribosomal RNA". It matches the Rfam family "Bacterial small subunit ribosomal RNA", at positions 355 to 825 of the family's 1533-position model. The record is from RNAcentral.